Triticum aestivum (bread wheat) is the source of this 125-nucleotide non-coding RNA. Lineage: Eukaryota; Viridiplantae; Streptophyta; Magnoliopsida; Poales; Poaceae. The record is from Rfam.
UAAAUACUCCAUCCGUCCCAAAAUACUUGUCGGAGAAAUACAUAAAAAGGGAUGUAUCUAGAACUAAAAUACGUCUAGAUACAUCCAUUCCCCCGACAAGUAUUUUCGGACGGAGGGAGUACUUG